GCGGGUGUGGCGGAAUUGGCAGACGCACUAGACUUAGGAUCUAGCGCCAUGUGCGUGGGGGUUCAAGUCCCUCCACCCGCA
RNAcentral lists this transfer RNA (81 nucleotides) under Geosporobacter ferrireducens. It matches the Rfam family "tRNA". From Rfam's summary of the family: Transfer RNA (tRNA) molecules are approximately 80 nucleotides in length. Their secondary structure includes four short double-helical elements and three loops (D, anti-codon, and T loops). The record is from Rfam by way of RNAcentral. Lineage: Bacteria; Bacillati; Bacillota; Clostridia; Peptostreptococcales; Thermotaleaceae.